GACGAACGCUGGCGGCGUGCCUAAUACAUGCAAGUAGAACGCACAGGAUGCACCGUAGUUUACUACACCGUAUUCUGUGAGUUGCGAACGGGUGAGUAACGCGUAGGUAACCUGCCUGGUAGCGGGGGAUAACUAUUGGAAACGAUAGCUAAUACCGCAUAAGAACAUUUACUGCAUGGUAGAUGUUUAAAAGGUGCAAAUGCAUCACUACCAGAUGGACCUGCGUUGUAUUAGCUAGUAGGUGAGGUAACGGCUCACCUAGGCGACGAUACAUAGCCGACCUGAGAGGGUGAUCGGCCACACUGGGACUGAGACACGGCCCAGACUCCUACGGGAGGCAGCAGUAGGGAAUCUUCGGCAAUGGGGGGAACCCUGACCGAGCAACGCCGCGUGAGUGAAGAAGGUUUUCGGAUCGUAAAGCUCUGUUGUUAAGGAAGAACGAGUGUGAGAAUGGAAAGUUCAUACUGA
RNAcentral lists this ribosomal RNA (468 nucleotides) under Streptococcus intermedius. RNAcentral describes it as "bacterial SSU rRNA". It matches the Rfam family "Bacterial small subunit ribosomal RNA", at positions 28 to 472 of the family's 1533-position model. Lineage: Bacteria; Bacillati; Bacillota; Bacilli; Lactobacillales; Streptococcaceae. The record is from RNAcentral.